RNAcentral lists this ribosomal RNA (923 nucleotides) under uncultured fungus. RNAcentral's name for it is "eukaryotic LSU rRNA". The stretch from base 274 to 923 matches the Rfam family "Eukaryotic large subunit ribosomal RNA", at positions 1 to 665 of the family's 3401-position model. Lineage: Eukaryota; Fungi. The record is from RNAcentral.
UAUCGAUGAAGAACGCAGCGAAAUGCGAUAAGUAAUGUGAAUUGCAGAAUUCAGUGAAUCAUCGAAUCUUUGAACGCAUAUUGCGCCCCUUGGUAUUCCGGGGGGCAUGCCUGUUCGAGCGUCAUUACAACCACUCAAGCCUAGCUUGGUGUUGGGGUUCGCCUUUUGGUGGCCCUUAAAACCAGUGGCGGUGCCGGCUGGCUCUAAGCGUAGUAAUUCUUCUCGCUAUAGGGUCCUGGCGGUGCUCGCCAUUAACCUCAAAUUUUACUAGGUUGACCUCGGAUCAGGUAGGGAUACCCGCUGAACUUAAGCAUAUCAAUAAGCGGAGGAAAAGAAACCAACAGGGAUUGCCUUAGUAACGGCGAGUGAAGCGGCAACAGCUCAAAUUUGAAAUCUGGCUCUUUAAGGGUCCGAGUUGUAAUUUGUAGAAGAUGCUUUGGGUGUGGUCCCGGUCUAAGUUCCUUGGAACAGGACGUCAUAGAGGGUGAGAAUCCCGUAUGUGAUUGGGUACCUUCGCCCGUGUAAAGCUCUUUCGACGAGUCGAGUUGUUUGGGAAUGCAGCUCAAAAUGGGUGGUAAAUUUCAUCUAAAGCUAAAUAUUGGCCAGAGACCGAUAGCGCACAAGUAGAGUGAUCGAAAGAUGAAAAGCACUUUGGAAAGAGAGUUAAACAGUACGUGAAAUUGUUGAAAGGGAAGCGCUUGCAACUAGACUUGCAUGCCGUCGAUCAUCCGGGGUUCUCCCCGGUGCACUCGGUGGUAUUCAGGCCAGCAUCGGUUUGGGUGGUUGGAUAAAGGCCUUGGGAAUGUAGCUUCUUUCGGGGAGUGUUAUAGCCCUCGGUGCAAUGCAGCCUAUCCGGACCGAGGACCGCGCUUCGGCUAGGAUGCUGGCGUAAUAGUUGUAAGCGACCCGUCUUGAAACACGGA